GUCUUCAGCCAGACCACCCUGAACACGCUUGAUCUUGGAAGCUAAGCAGGGUGAGGCCUGGUUAGUACUAGGAUGGGAGAAA
Molecule: ribosomal RNA, 82 nt
Filed under: Chinchilla lanigera (long-tailed chinchilla)
Lineage: Eukaryota; Metazoa; Chordata; Mammalia; Rodentia; Chinchillidae
Source: RNAcentral